GAACGUCGUGAGACAGUUCGGUCCCUAUCUUCCGUGGGUGUAGGAUAUUUGAGAGGAGUUGCCCCUAGUACGAGAGGACCGGGGUGAACGUUCCACUGGUGGACCAGUUGUCGUGCCAACGGCAGUGCUGGGUAGCUAUGAACGGACAGGAUAACCGCUGAAGGCAUCUAAGCGGGAAGCCCCCCUCAAAACAAGAUAUCCCUGAGAGCCGAGGUAGACUACCUCGUCGAUAGGCCAGAGAUGUAAGCGCAGCAAUGCGUUCAGUUGACUGGUACUAAUGGCUC
RNAcentral lists this ribosomal RNA (284 nucleotides) under Chaetoceros brevis. RNAcentral describes it as "partial Bacterial large subunit ribosomal RNA". It matches the Rfam family "Bacterial large subunit ribosomal RNA", at positions 2614 to 2910 of the family's 2925-position model. The record is from RNAcentral. Lineage: Eukaryota; Bacillariophyta; Thalassiosirophyceae; Chaetocerotales; Chaetocerotaceae.